UCGGACGAAAGCUGAGCUAAUACCGUAUGUGUCCGUUCGGGAAGAAAGAUUUAUCGCCAAAGGAUGUGCCCGCGUCGGAUUAGCUAGUUGGUGGGGUAACGGCCCACCAAGGCGACGAUCCGUAGCUGGUCUGAGAGGAUGAUCAGCCACACUGGGACUGAGACACGGCCCAGACUCCUACGGGAGGCAGCAGGUGGGAAUAUUGGACAAUGGGGCAACCCUGAUCCAGCCAUGCCGCGUGAGUGAUGAAGGCCUUAGGGUUGUAAAGCUCUUUCGCCCGCGAAGAUAAUGACUGUAGCGGGAGAAGAAGCCCCGGCUAACUUCGUG
Molecule: ribosomal RNA, 327 nt
Filed under: uncultured bacterium
Lineage: Bacteria
Description: bacterial SSU rRNA
Rfam family: Bacterial small subunit ribosomal RNA
Source: RNAcentral